This is a non-coding RNA of Rattus norvegicus (Norway rat), 69 nucleotides long. NCBI's taxonomy places the organism in Eukaryota, Metazoa, Chordata, Mammalia, Rodentia, Muridae. The record is from Rfam.
GGGGAUUUAGCUCAGCGGUAGAGCGCUUGCCUAGCAAGCACAAGGCCCUGGGUUCGGUCCCCAGCUCCA